This 603-nucleotide ribosomal RNA is filed under the name Triticum aestivum (bread wheat). Its description in RNAcentral is "partial small subunit ribosomal RNA". The record is from RNAcentral. Lineage: Eukaryota; Viridiplantae; Streptophyta; Magnoliopsida; Poales; Poaceae.
AUGGGCGCCGAGGAGGACGCCGCCGCCCGCCGCGAGCGCCUCAAGGCCCUCCGCGCCGCCAAGGAGCUCCUCUCCGCGCCCGACGGCGCCUCCCCCGACCCCGCCCCCGCCCCCGCCCCCGCCGACGCGGACCAGCAGAAUGGUGAACAUGGGAUGACAGAAGAACAGGUGGACCAACCAGAAUUGCCAGGUCCUGUGGAUGCACCCGAGGAUGCUUCCAAGGAGAACGUUAGCCCCACUAAGGAAUCUGAUGAGAUUGAAGACAGUGGGGAGGUACCACUGAAGUUCAGAAACUACCUUCCUCAUGAUGAGCGGCUCAGAGGUGGCAAGGUGGCCCCGCUGUCUCUUCCCAAGUUUGAAGAUCCGAUCGCUGCUGAUGCUGCCGAGCCAAAGCAGCUGGAGGGCAAAACUCACCAUAUUUAUCUGCAGAACCCGUUUGGGAACAUCGCUCCAAAGAACCCAAACUGGGACCUGAAACGGGACGUGCAGAAGAGGAUCGACAAGCUGGAGAAGCGCACCCAGAAAGCUCUGGCGGAGAUUGCAUUGGAGCAGCAAAAGGAGAAUGAGGCGCUGGAGGAGGGAGGCGAUGCAGCUCAAGAGUGA